This 468-nucleotide ribosomal RNA is filed under the name uncultured bacterium. RNAcentral's name for it is "partial 16S ribosomal RNA". It matches the Rfam family "Bacterial small subunit ribosomal RNA", at positions 28 to 507 of the family's 1533-position model. The record is from RNAcentral.
GACGAACGCUGGCGGCGUGCUUAACACAUGCCAGUCGAACGGAAAGGCCCUGCUUUUGUGGGGUGCUCGAGUGGCGAACGGGUGAGUAACACGUGAGUAACCUGCCCUUGACUUUGGGAUAACUUCAGGAAACUGGGGCUAAUACCGGAUAGGAGCUCCUGCUGCAUGGUGGGGGUUGGAAAGUUUCGGCGGUUGGGGAUGGACUCGCGGCUUAUCAGCUUGUUGGUGGGGUAGUGGCUUACCAAGGCUUUGACGGGUAGUCGGCCUGAGAGGGUGACCGGCCACAUUGGGACUGAGAUACGGCCCAGACUCCUACGGGAGGCAGCAGUGGGGAAUAUUGCACAAUGGGCGGAAGCCUGAUGCAGCAACGCCGCGUGCGGGAUGACGGCCUUCGGGUUGUAAACCGCUUUCGCCGGUGACGAAGCGUGAGUGACGGUAAUGGGUAAAGAAGCACCGGCUAACUACGUG